This is an RNA transcript of Aquila chrysaetos chrysaetos, 7534 nucleotides long. It is a transcript of the gene named sterile alpha motif domain containing 4A, with no coding region annotated. The transcript is spliced from 13 exons. Lineage: Eukaryota; Metazoa; Chordata; Aves; Accipitriformes; Accipitridae. The record is from RefSeq and is a predicted model, not a curated record.
UCCCACCCCUUUUUUUUUCCCCCCCCUUUUCCCUUUUCCCCGCCAUGGCACGGCCCCCCCCAGCGCCGAGCCGACCCCCCCCGCUUCCCGGCGCCGGUAUGAGUCAGGUGUGAGGCCCCCGCCGGGAGGAGGCAGCCCCCGCCGCAGCCUCGCUGGGGGCAGCCCUGACGCUGCUGCUGCUGCUGCUGCUGGGGUUUUCCUUUUUUUUUUCUUUUCCUUUUUUUUUUUUUUUUUGGCCUUUUCUUUUUUAUUUUGGUCGCCCCCCCCAAUCCCUUUUUCCCCUCCUCCUUCCCUUCCCUCCCUCCCGUGUCGCCGUCAGGGAAUCCAGCGCUGCACCGAAGCCAGAAGAGAGGGAGCAAAAACCCAACCCAGGCCGAAAGCUGCGUCCAAAACAAAACCCACCGUUUUUAUUGCAAAGGAGAUUUUUUUUUCCUUUUUUUUUUUUUUUUUUCUUUUUAAUUUUUAUUAUUAUUUUUUAAUCCUGACCCGAAACGUAGGGGAGGAAGCGGAGUCGGGGCAGGAAGGCUUUCCCGGUAUAUUUAUUUUCUCCCCCCGCAGAGGUGUCUCCUCCGGCCGCCGGCUCACCAUGAUGUUUCGAGACCAGGUCGGCGUGUUGGCCGGUUGGUUCAAGGGCUGGAACGAGUGCGAGCAGACGGUGGCCCUGCUCUCGCUGCUGAAACGCGUCAGCCGGACCCAGGCCCGCUUCCUCCAGCUCUGCCUGGAGCACUCCCUGGCAGACUGCACCGAGCUCCACAUCCUCGAAGGGGAAGCCAACAACCCCGGAAUCAUUAACCAAUGGCAACAGGAAUCCAAGGAUAAAGUGAUUUCUCUAUUGUUAACCCACCUGCCUUUACUGAAGCCCGGAAACAUCGAGGCAAAAGUCGAGUACAUGAAACUCUUGCCUAAAAUCCUGGCCCACUCGAUCGAACACAACCAACACAUUGAGGAGAGCAGGCAACUGCUGUCCUACGCCUUGAUACACCCCGCCACCUCCUUAGAGGACAGGAGCGCCCUGGCCAUGUGGCUCAACCACCUGGAGGACCGCACGUCGGGUGGCUUCGGCAGCCAGAGCAGAGGUCGGUCGGAUUCGGUGGACUACGGGCAGACGCAUUACUAUCACCAAAGACAAAACUCCGACGACAAACUCAACGGAUGGCAAAACUCUCGAGACUCGGGCAUAAGCGUCAGCGCUUCCAGCUGGCAGGACAAAAACCUGGCGUGCGAGAAUGGCCAUCUACCCCUCUACUCCUCCUCCUCCGUCCCCACAACCAUCAACACCAUCGGCACUAGCACAAGCACCAUUCUCUCAGGCCAGACACACCACAGCCCUUUGAAACGCUCUGUGUCCCUUACCCCACCCAUGAAUGUGCCAAACCAACCUCUAGGACAUGGAUGGAUGUCUCAUGAGGACUUACGAGCUAGAGGACCCCAGUGCAUCCCUUCCGAUCAUGCCCCCCUGUCUCCACAAAGCAGUGUAGCCUCUUCGGGAAGUGGUGGGAGUGAACAUUUAGAAGAUCAGCCUUCCGCUCGUAACACAUUCCAGGAGGAAGGGAGUGGGAUGAAAGAUGUCCCAGCCUGGCUGAAGAGCCUCCGGCUGCACAAGUACGCCGCUCUCUUCUCGCAGAUGACGUACGAGGAGAUGAUGGCCCUCACCGAAUGCCAGCUCGAGGCACAAAACGUUACCAAAGGCGCAAGACACAAAAUAGUCAUCAGUAUCCAAAAGCUAAAAGAAAGACAAAACCUGCUCAAAUCUUUAGAAAGAGACAUCCUGGAAGGUGGCAACUUGCGUGUCCCGCUGCAGGAACUACACCAAAUGAUCCUCACCCCCAUCAAAGCCUACUCUUCCCAAAACUCGAGCACGGAGGAGCACAGCCGGGACGCGGAUUCGCAUCACCCCUCCUCCCUGAUCGGCUCAGACAGCCAAGGCUCCGACUGCAAGGACUCUGCCGCGGGGGGGAUGCAGCAGCACCAGUUGGCGGGAUGCGAGGGCGAGUCGGGGGGGGCCCCUUUACCUGAAGGCGACCUGCCCGGGCAGUUCACCAGAGUGAUGGGGAAAGUAUGCACACAACUUUUAGUUUCCCGACCCGAUGAAGAGAAUAUAAGUUCCUAUUUACAGCUCAUAGACAAAUGUCUAAUCCACGAGGCGUUUACAGAGAUCCAGAAGAAGCGGCUGCUGUCAUGGAAACAGCAGGUGCAGAAACUCUUUCGGUCUUUCCCUCGGAAAUCCCUCCUGGAGCUGUCAGGCUAUCGGCAGCAGAGGAGCCGAGGCUUUGGCCAGUCGAACUCCUUACCGACAGCCGGAUCCGCAGGGGCAGGACUGGGCCGGCGAAACCCCCGCCAGUUCCAGAUCCCCUCCCGCAACCUCCCCACCGCCCGGCUGGGGCUGCUGGGUCCCAGCGGGCUGCUGGGCACCCCCCAGCGCAGCCCCGCCGCCAGCCCCGCCAUCCUCAAGCAAGGCAGACAGAACCUCUGGUUUGCCAACCCCGGGGGCAGCAACAGUAUGCCCAGCCGGAGCCACAGCUCGGUGCAAAGGACGCGCUCGCUGCCGGUCCACACCUCUCCGCAGACCAUGCUGAUGUUUCAGCAGCCAGAGUUCCAGGUGCCGGUGACUGAACCUGACAUCAACAACAGGCUGGAGUCGCUGUGCCUGAGCAUGACGGAGCACGCGCUCAGCGGUGAGCACUCCCUCCUCCUCGGGCUUUUCCAGCACGUCCACGCCGCCUCCGCCAAGCCCCCCGGCACCUGCCCCGCGGCCCCCAAAAGCUGGGACAGGCUGUGGCUGUGAGGGGACGGGACGGCGGCGGGGCUGGAUGCGGAGAUGCUCCCAGGGAUGCUCCCGGGGACCGGGGGGGUCGGACGGGGACGGCGGCUUCUCUCGGCGAGGUAGCCGGGGCAGGGGGUAAAAACCGAACGCAGGGCUCGCGCCCGGCGCUAGUGAAGUCUGUGCUUAUUAGCCGCGAGUAAGCUUGCUAAUAAUAAUGAGUAUUAGCUCGCUAGGCUGUUAUUAGUUCUCGAUAAAGCCCUUGCCACCGGCGUGCUCGAAUGGUUCGCGGGCUUCGGAGUAUUUUACCCUUCUGCCACCGGCAUCCCUCGUUCGGCCGAGGGGCGCGGGAGCCCCAAGGCACGGGGCUAAAUCCCUGCCGCGGGCUGCAGGGUGCUGUGCCGGGCGCUGUGCCGGCUUCCUCGCCCGUGCCUGGGGCGGCUGCGGAUGCCAACCCCGGGCGGGCGGAUAACGGGCACGGGGAGGGAGGAGGACCAGGCAGAAAAACAGACAGAAAAGGUGGAAAAGGCAGCGGGAGCGUGAUGGAGAGCCCCGGUGCGGCAAAAAGCACCGGCACCAGCGGCGCCUGGUGCCCCUCGCCGAUGCGCUGGACCCCCCCCAAGCACGAAGGAUGACCCCCCCCCCACACCCCCCGACCCCCGGCAAUGGGACGAGCACGGCCGCCGGCAUCGCCCAGACCCUCCCGAAUAACCAGCUCGGGUCUCGUCCCCCCGGCAAUCCCCGGACUGCGUCGUACGGCUGAGGACAGGAACGCUCGGGGAGGACGAGAGCCGCCGGGCUCCCUGCAGCGAUGCAACAGCCCGGGACGCGAGAGCGAGGACUGGAAGAAGCAGCAGGGCCCUGGCAGUGCCACGGCAGCAUCCUCGGCCGGGAAAAACAAGGACACUUCUGUCACCCAAAGCAUUUCUCCGGCGUGUGCCCAGGAGAGGCUUAGCUGUCUCGUUCCUCUGCAGGAUGGCGUUGACCGAACUUCCACGAUCUAGAAGGCGUCGCGACGGGGACGCUGGCCGGGAGAACAACUGCUGCGGGUCCAGCGGCGAGGUCGGGGCUUGCAGGGAGCCUCAGCGAUAGCUUGCAUCCUUUCUCCUCUCUCUCCUCUCCUCUCUCUUUCUCUCUCUCUCUCUCCUGUUUUAAUUUUGUGAAUGUGUAGAUUGUCCUUGUGAACAUAUCAUUAGACUUGGAAUUUGUGUUGUCAUUUAUUACAUCCAUGCUAGGGGGGAAAAAAAGCAAAAAAAAAAAAAAAAAAAAAAUAGUGGCAAAAAGUCAACGACGACGAUGAAAAAGCAUGGGGAGGGUGGGGCGGGGGGGGGGACGCGGCAGGAGAGUGCUGACAACGGAGGGUUCACCGGAGCAUCGAGGGCAAACCCUGUUUCUGGACGAGGAUACGAAUGAAUAGUGAAUAUCACGCGGGGGUGUGUGUGUGUGACCAAAAACCCUUUGGGAAGGAUUUGCCUGUCCUGCCGGGAGCUUCGGGGCCGGUGGUCCCAUCCCUUGAGUUUCGCUGCGUUCAGGCACGGACUGGCCUGGAAAGCCCAGAUUUUAAAAAAAAAAAAAAAACAAACAAAAAAAAACCAACCAAACCCAAAAUUUCCUUUCAGUUUAGCCAAGAGCAUCCGCAGUUUCGAGGCCAGCGUUGUGCACGGGGCAGCGGAGCCGGAGGGUCGGGGUACGGGGACGCGGCGGGGGGGCAUCUCGCCCGGCCGGGGGUCCCGGGGGAUGUCGGUAAAGCGGGGGUCGGAGCGGGGGGGGGGGGGGGAUGCUGGCUGAGUUUCCGUGUCUCUUGCCUUGCCUUUGCGGGUACCGGGAAGGUGUUGCAUCCGUGGCUUUACACAUCUACCCCCCGCCCAGCCUGCCAAAAACCCAGCGAUAACGGGCUUUUCCAGCCCCGGGACGGCCGAUGAGGGAUGAAGGCUUUUUGGGAGGGAGCGUGCAGUUUUAUUUAGCCAAAUAAAAAACCGAAGGGCACCAAAAUGCAGCUUCACAGCCCCAUUUUCUUGGCAUUAUACGUGUGCCGGAGAGGAGACGUGGAUGAUGGCAGUGGCUCGGCUGCCCGCUCCCCCGCCGCUGUGUCGCUUUUUAUAACGGGGAGCUAAAUUUGGUCCGAGGGCAUUAAAUAGAUAAAUCCCACACGGCGCUGCUCAAGCCUGUGCUCAAAGCGAGGUCGGGGCCAGAAAAACCAUCGGAUGUUUCGCAGCGAUGCUCGGCGGAGCAGCGGCUUCGCUCCCGCCGGUCCUGAUGCCGCUCCGAGUCCUCUGAUGGAAUAAGAAUAAAUUUAAAAUUAAUUAAUGAAGGGAGGUGACGGGUGGAGGCGGCAGCCACGGGGGUCGCAGCGAUAUUCCCAAAAAAUGGGCUCGGCCGUGAGCACCGAUGGGUAGCGGCGUGUGCCGGGAUCGGCCGGAGCAGGGCUGGGGGGGAACCAGAGCAUCGGCUGGGAUGGGAGAUGUGUGAAUCCAUUUGCCAUGCAGCAUUUUUAAGUUGUUUUUCUUAAAAAAAAAAAACACAAAAAAAACAAAAAACAAAAAACCAAAACCAACCAAAAAAAAAAGUGCUAUAUGCAAUGUUUUAUGUUUGCUGUUCCUUGGUGUCCUGCUUCCCGGCAGGCAUGAGAUUUGGGGGUGGGGGGGGGGUGCGCAGGGUGGGGGGAGCGGAGAAGGGAAAACCCGAAAGCGAGGGAGGUUGGGAAGAGGUGUGAGGAGGUGAAGGCGAAGCGGGGGGCCGGGGGGGGCUGAGCCGCAGGCGCCGGCCGGCGCUGGGGACCUGGGUUAUCCCCCCCCCCCCGAGCACCCCCAGGUUGUACGAAACUGAGGUGUGAACACAACCACCGUAGCAGGAGCCUUCCCCAGGCUCAGAUGUAUUUACGGAGCUGAAAUUCUAUUUAUUCCUUUGCUGACUAUAGAAACAGAGGUUAUCUGAUUGUUAAGAGAUAUUAUUUUGGAUAUAUUACCUAUUAACUUGCUAUGGCUGGUAACCAUCAUAAUGUCUGUUAUUAACAACCACCAAAUAAUUCAAUUGUUUUUACCUUUUGUUUUAAAAAAAAAAAAAAGCUUAUUUUCCAUUGACAGUGUAUAGGUUAAUAACGACUUAGUUGUGUUUGCUGUUUCUUGUUUGUUUUUUUUUUUUUUUUUUAAGUACAAAAAACAAGUGGCUUCAGUUGCGUUCGGGAAGUCCUGCCUGGCUCUGGGGUGCCUGUGCUGAGUGCAGGCAGCAGAGCUCCAGUGAAAGAAGUUUAAAAAAAAAAAAAAAAAAAAAAAAAAAAAAAAAAAAAAAAAAAAAAAAAGCUCGAAUCCUAAAAGAAAAUAAAAAUUAUUUAUAAAAAGAAAAAAGAAAAAAAAAAAAAAAAACAAACAGUUGCAUGAGUGAGGCUGUGAAGUCAAAUCUUUAGUAAUAAAGCGGCAGUGCCUUUCUUUUUUGUAUUCACCCGUUCACCCCACGUGCAACUGUUUUGUACCACGCGCGCGCCGUGGCGAGGGAGCCGUCGCCGCGGCGGGGGCCCUCGGCGUCGGGUGGGCAUCUCAUCCCCCCUCUUCCCUGCUCUCCCAGAAACAGCCCUUGGCCCCCCGCCUUGCCCCAGCACCCACCGGGGACCUUUUACUGGUGCUGUUCCCCUGAGCCGUCCCCGGCUGCAGCGGGGGAGGCCGGCCAGCUCAGCGCCCAAGUGUCCUUGGGUCCGGCGGAUGCUCCCCGCGGCUGCGACACCCAGGGAAAAAGGGAAAAAAAAAAAAAAAAAAAACCACAAAAACCAACCUUUUCUUUCGAGGUGUCUUCCCCCUCCCCAGGGACAAGCCCUGAGCUCGGCUGGACUUGAGCUGGGUUUUGCCUUUGCUUGCUCAGCUCAUUUAAAAAAAAAAAAAAAAAAAUUCUUUUUUUUUUUUGGGGGGGGGGGGGCGGUCAAGGCCAGCCAGCAUCCAGCAGGAAAAAUCCAAAACUGUGAUUUUUACGCCCGCAAGCGGCGCGGAGCGAAGCUCGAGUUUGGUCAGCACUUAGGGAAAUUAUUUCUGUUAUCACCUUUCUCCAUGUCGGGGUGCGGCCGUGCCCCAGGUUUGGCUUUCUGAAUGUGCCUGAUGGAAAGUGGGUCCUGCAGACGUCUAUAAUUUGCACACAGCGACGAUAACACUAAAGUUGAUUUUAUACGAGUCAUCAGAGUUUGCAAAGUGAGUUUUAUUUUUUGUAUUCCUUUAUCUUUACUUAAAGGUGAAUGUGUAUUCCUCUGGGAGGAAUAGGAAGAAAAAAAAAAAAAAACAGGAAUGUUAAUAAUGUUAAACAGAAUACUUCCUCCCUUAUUAAUAUAUAUAUAUAACCCUUAUGUAUUUAUGCAUAUUGUAAGCUCACUUUAAAAAGCUUUGAACUCUCUUCUGUUGCAUGCCGUUCCCGGGCAGCCUUUUAUUGUACAUGCAUGCCUUUAGUCCUGGUUUUUCUGUACAAAGUUAGUGCACAAAGAACUAUUUUUGCCUAGUUAAUGUUGCCGAGCAAUGCAUAUUUUUUAAAUUUUUUUUUUUUGGUCAUAUAUGGAAAUAGCAUGUUUGUUACAUGUAAAAGCUUCCCGAUAUAAAGAAAUACUAAUGUUUGGAGAUGCCGGUCUUUGCAAGUGUACAGUUUUCAAAUGUUGUUCCCAGUGAAACACCCUCGUGAUUUCAACUUGCUCCGAUGUAUUUAUUACUCAUUUCCUCCCAUGUAACUAGGAAUCAUGGCUAUAUUUCAUAUCAACGUUAUAUUGAAAGUGAAGGGAGAUGAUUAAUACAAGGUUUUGUAACA